UUAAGGUACUUGUUUUAUAGCUUUAUGAAAUAACUCCUUAAUCGUGUUCAACUAGUUAAGAUGCAUUAUAUUAGAUCGCGCUUAGCGCAAGGAGGUUUCAUUAUUAUGAAACAAGGUACUGUUAAAUGGUUCAACGCUGAUAAAGGUUAUGGCUUCAUUACUACUGACGAUGGUGACGUAUUUGUUCACUUCUCAGCUAUCAACAAAGACGGCUUCAAGUCAUUAGACGAAGGUCAAAAAGUUACCCUUGACGUUGAAGACAGCGACCGUGGCCCACAAGCUGCUAACGUUACUGUUGUAGAAGAAGGCUAAUUUUUAAUUAACUUUCCAAAAGAAUCUGGUAUUUGCCAGGUUCUUUUUU
This 361-nucleotide small RNA is filed under the name Lentilactobacillus senioris DSM 24302 = JCM 17472. RNAcentral describes it as "Lactobacillus senioris DSM 24302 = JCM 17472 cspA thermoregulator". It matches the Rfam family "cspA thermoregulator", at positions 75 to 428 of the family's 428-position model. Lineage: Bacteria; Bacillati; Bacillota; Bacilli; Lactobacillales; Lactobacillaceae. The record is from Rfam by way of RNAcentral.